UACGUAGGUGGCAAGCGUUGUCCGGAAUUAUUGGGCGUAAAGCGCGCGCAGGCGGUUUUUUAAGUCGGGUGUAUAAUCCCAAGGCUUAACCCUGGGAGGCCCCCGAAACUGGGAGACUGGAGUGCAGAAGAGGAGAGUGGAAUUCCACGUGUAGCGGUGAAAUGCGUAGAGAUGUGGAGGAACACCAGUGGCGAAGGCGACUCUCUGGUCUGUAACUGACGCUGGGGCGCGAAAGCGUGGGGAGCAAACAGG
RNAcentral lists this unclassified non-coding RNA (252 nucleotides) under uncultured Bacillaceae bacterium. Its description in RNAcentral is "contains 16S-23S intergenic spacer region". It matches the Rfam family "Bacterial small subunit ribosomal RNA", at positions 524 to 776 of the family's 1533-position model. The record is from RNAcentral. Lineage: Bacteria; Bacillati; Bacillota; Bacilli; Caryophanales; Bacillaceae.